CUUUUAAUGUAACUGAUUAUACAAAUGUAAAACUACUAUACAACGUAAAAACUACGCUGAUCCCUAAUCUUAUAAGUGAUUCACAGUUCGAACAAUUCUAGUGAAUAUGAUAUAAUAUUUACAGUAUUGUAUCUCAUCAGAGUAAAUGGAAAACCACAAGGUGGCGCCUGCACUUACAUAGAAUGAUGGAAACAGUGGAAAAAAAGUUCUUGUCACUCCUCCCUUACAACUCACUUCCCAUUUGCUGACUGCCUUCAUCAGCACAGAAACGCCUGAACCAGAGUACAGUAUACAUACGUCUCAGCAGAGCACAAGGCAAAGGACAUUUCAACCAAAAUCCAAUAAUCAGCAGAAUGGAUUCCAGCCAGUCUUUCAACCAGCUUUCAGGGGCCUUCAAUUCAUCUGAGAAAUCAGUGAUGUUGCCGCCUGUAGCACCACCACCAGUAUACCAGGACAAUCUUGCUGGAUAUUCUCCCUCCUUUCCAAGCCAGUCAGUCCCCCAAGGCCCCUACGCCCAGGGGCCGUAUCCAGGACAGUCUGUGGUCGCUAUGCAGCCUGCAGUUUUUGUGCCCACCACUCCACUGGCCAAUCCAGUGCCAGAGUACACAUGCUAUUCCAUCUUCACCAUGCUGUGCUGCAGCUUUCAUCUGGGCACUGCUGCACUGGUUUACUCCCUCUCUACUCGAAAUGCCAACUACUCAGGACAGCGAGAAUUAGCAGAGAGGAACUCCAAAACUGCACGUACCCUGAAUCAUGUCGCUGUUGCUCUUGGCAUCGUUUGCACUGUAUUGCUUCUUGUCUACAUGUUUAUGUUGAGGAAAAAUAUGUAGCCUAUCCCUAACUGUUAAAGCUGUUAAAGCUGUUAAACCUGUCGGAAGCAGAUUAUGUUACAAACAAAUUUGAUUCUCUUGAUUGUAAGCAUUUUUAGUUUAGUGUGUCAAUAUCCACCCAGUAAAACAAGCUUUAACUAUUGGAUGUUUAAAACAAUACAAGCACUUACUGAGCAAUUUAAAGGGGUCAUAUGAUGUGAUUUAAAUUUUUCCUUUCUCUUUGGAGUGUUUCAAGCUCUUGGUGCAUAAAGAAGAUCUGUAAAGUUGCAAAGACUAAAGUCUCAAAUCCAAAGAGAUAUUCUUUAUAAAAGUUAAGAGUCAACCACUCCUACCUAAAACGGCUCGUUCUAACACGCCCCCACAUAUCUACCUCACUAUGUGGGAAGAUUUGCAUAACACCGCCCAAAUGUUCACGCAAAGAAAGAAGGUGUAACUUUGAUUCUCACUGUAGUAUUGUUGUUGCCGUGUGUUUCGUUGUGAAAGCGAAACUACUUUGUUUGGCUUUCCAAAAGAGGACGAUAUCCGCUUCAUCAUGCCUAGAGCUGAUCUGUGCUGGUCGCUGAGGAAAUACAUCAACUUCGCGCUGUGGAUCGCCGGAUCGGCUUUCACCGUGGAUGAAGCAGAGUUCAGCCCGGAGUCAUCACAUGUGGUUGCCGCAAGCCCGCCGGCCUCCACUCACUUAAGCCAAAUCAGUGGUUAAGAUGUAUUUACAACACUGUUCCAGAACAGUUCAACCCAAAUAUUCAGAUGUGUGCAGCACAUUUGUCUGGUCGUGCCGAGAGACAGCAUCACAGUAUGGUAAGGGGCGUAACAUUCCCAUCACACGCUUGAGGUAUUUGGCCAAUCACAACGCACUGGAUAGCUGGCCAAUCAGAGCACACCUCGCUUUUCAGACCGAUGAGCUUUGUAAAAAUCGACACGUUUCAGAAAGGCAGGACAUAGAGGAGAAACAAUAAUGUACAGUAUGUGGAAAAUAAUGUGUUUUUUAACCUUAAACCGCAUAAACACAUUUCAUUACACCAAAUACACAAAAUAAUGUUCUUUUUAGCAACAUCAUAUGACCCCUUUAAUUUAACAUGAAAAAACUUAUUCUUGUUUAUUAUAGAAUUGCCAACAAUUCUUCUUUUAGCCAAAUGUAGGCAUAUCUGUUUUUGUUCUCUUUACAUCUAUAAUGUUUUUAGACCUUUUUGCUUAUCUUAAAUAUCCUGUGUGUAACUAAUUAUUUUACAUAGGCCUACUUUUGUAGGCUAUUAUAUUUUACACAUUUGUAUGGACAUAAAUAUUCCAGUAGUCCACAUUGUUAAAAGGUACUAUAUAAGUUAAAAUAUAUAAUAAUACAUCUCAUUAUAUUGCAUUUAUUUCAUUAUACAUUUCAUUUUAGAUCUAUCUAUCUAUCUAUCUAUCUAUCUAUCUAUCUAAUCUGAUUGUACAACCCACAUACAUGUGUGUAUGUUUUCAAGAGCCCCAUGCAACUGAGUUGUCAUUCUUGUUUUGUAAAGACAUUUUACAAAAGAAAACAUUGCAUAAAUCCUGUUUUAUAACAGUGUGUGAUUGUUGGGUGACAAUUAUUACUAGCGUCAUAGAAGAAUCAAUUGAUCUGAGACAUAUGUAGGGUUUUGUACUUUUAGUGCAUUUUGAAUGUGAAAUUAACUGCUGUGCAAAGCUGAAAGUUGGUAAGGAGAACUGUAAAAGUGUUUUGGAAAAGUCACCUAUAUUGAGAAGUGUAUCCCAGAGAAUUUAAAUAAAAACUGUAAUUGAAGGGCAGGAAGAUCAGCCCAAAAACAUGCUCAGUAAUCAUAAACUCAUCCCCAUCUGUGUCCUAAGACCUUUUUUCCCCCUGAAUUCAUAAUGUUAAAUGUUGAUUCCACCAGGUGGCGCCUGCAGUCAAGCUAUAAAGAAGUUACAGUAAAUUCAAUCUAUGCUAAAA
RNAcentral lists this long non-coding RNA (2757 nucleotides) under Sinocyclocheilus grahami. RNAcentral's name for it is "lncRNA (ENSSGRG00000048090.1)". Lineage: Eukaryota; Metazoa; Chordata; Actinopteri; Cypriniformes; Cyprinidae. The record is from RNAcentral.